UUGUUCAAGAGAUUCCAUCUGAUGAAAACUGAUGUGGCUCAUUCUCUUUUGGUUGGAUGUAAAAUACACUACUGUGAGCACUCUGAACCUCUUGGCCAUCCACCUCUGAUCAUCUCUCUCCACCUGAAGCCUCUGUGCCUUCUCUCUCCACACCAUUAACAAGAAGAAGAUGAAUGAGAAUUGAAAGGCCCACAGGGGGGUGACUUUUUACCAACACUGUUCCUCUAGGCUGCCAUGGGGUGUUUCAUCACAACCACGUGGCAUUCCAGGCCCUGAACCAGAUGGGAAGACACAUAAGGGACUGGUACAACGAGCACUGACAAGUUUCCAAAAAUCCACAAGAAGUUCUUUUAUCAGUUUAGCUUUCAAUAUUUGUUUUGUCAAAUUCUGCUGUUACAUUUUUGUUGCUCAGCAACAAUAACAAUUGAGGUUCAGAUAAGGCACUAAAAGACAACCAUGCAAUUCUUUAGUAUUUGCUUAACUCAGUAAUUUUGUAAACUGAAAAAGAACACUGAGUCGAAACCCUCAGCCAGUAGUGGCCUUGUAAACUGGCACCUCACCAGUACUGGAGUUGGCUCGGCUACACCCACUUUACCCCAUCAUAGUUGCUUUAGAGUCUACCAGAUGGUAGCAGUUUCUACAUUUGACAUUUUGACUCAUUUUGGCCAGUUAAGUCAUGACCAACACACGAAACACUCAUGUACAGUGACUCAGGCCACCAACAUUACAUUGUGCUCUUAAGAAGGCCUUAAGAAAUUACUUUAUUAUGGGGACCAGUAAGAAAUGCAUCAUGUGUUUGGUAUGUCAGACAUUGUUUGACCCAAAGAGACCCUCUGCUUUACAUCUUGGCAUGACUGCUGCAAUGCAUCAUUGAUUGUUGUAUGUUUUGUUUUUUUUUUUUAAAUCUGAGAUUACAUCCCUGCUGAGAUUAAAUUACUGAUAUCAAAGGCUCCUUCUAUUUACCAACAUGCGUCAUACCCAUUGAUCAAAUCACAUUUUAGCUCAGCGAGAUAGUAACAACCUGAGGAAUAGACGGAUGUGUCCACAGUAAUACAGACUUGCCAACCAGGCUGAACAGAAUCUCUCCAAUCACAUAAAGCGCAGCCAAACUACACAGAACUAACUGCCAGAUUUACUUAAGCAUUUUAUCUCAAAAUAUUACAGAACUGGCAAUGGGGGCCCCAUUACAACAUCUGACUGACAUGUUAGCAGCUUCCAAAACCACAGAGAGAGUUCCAGUGGAAGUACUGUAGGCUACCAUGAUCCAGAGAAUGACUGUUAAAUCAGUGGAAAAGAGCCUGGACCAUAAUCCUCUGUUUCUUUGAAACACAACGAGCUGAAGCAAUGUCCUUUGGGAUGUUUUAUGAUCCAAUAGAAAUAUAGUGCCACUCAUGUGAAGAGACUUACAAGACCUAUGCUUGGCAGCUUUGUUUGCUCUUCAUUGCUGCCACAUCCAUACUGCUGAGAAGAAGAGGACAAUAUGCUGCUAUUCAUGAAAGAAUCAGCUCUGCCAAAUGACAUAUGAGCCAAAAAGCCACAGUUGCUAAGGUGACGCCCCCACAGACGAGAGGCCUGCAGCGAGCAGGAGGGAGAUCAAUCACCGCUGACAUUACAGUGGCCUGUGAGGACCAUCGUUUUGAUCCAAACAAAAUAAGAGAGUGAAUGCUGGGAGAACCACAUGGAGACACCAGAGCUGGGCAGGGACACCAGGAUCCAUGGCCCAUAGCCAGCUGGAGCCAGCCUGGGUUGACAACGUGUUCCCACAGCCGGGACACUGUGGCACCAAUGGGCCAAAGGAAAGUAUGGGGGAGGAAGAGGAGAUGACUGUACACAGCUACAGCUGAGGUGUCACUGACAAAGCAGGACUGCCCAGCCAACAUACAACCAAGAAGAUGAAUGAACUUGGUAACAGUC
This is a long non-coding RNA of Acanthopagrus latus (yellowfin seabream), 1914 nucleotides long. RefSeq lists it as uncharacterized. The transcript has 3 exons. Lineage: Eukaryota; Metazoa; Chordata; Actinopteri; Spariformes; Sparidae. The record is from RefSeq and is a predicted model, not a curated record.